RNAcentral lists this ribosomal RNA (257 nucleotides) under uncultured bacterium. RNAcentral describes it as "partial 16S ribosomal RNA". It matches the Rfam family "Bacterial small subunit ribosomal RNA", at positions 1243 to 1500 of the family's 1533-position model. The record is from RNAcentral.
AGGGAAGCAAGACCGCGAGGUGGAGCAAAUCCCUAAAAGCCAUCCCAGUUCGGAUUGCAGGCUGCAACCCGCCUGUAUGAAGUUGGAAUUGCUAGUAAUCGCGAAUCAGAAUGUCGCGGUGAAUACGUUCCCGGGCCUUGUACACACCGCCCGUCACACCAUGGGAGUCGGUAACACCCGAAGUCGGUAGCCUAACCGUAAGGAGGGCGCCGCCGAAGGUGGGAUUGAUGACUGGGGUGAAGUCGUAACAAGGUAUC